CCUACGGACUGUCGUACUAACGAAAGUAGCUCGAAUUUUAGUGAACUCAGGCAGGUUGAACUAGGAA
RNAcentral lists this non-coding RNA (67 nucleotides) under unclassified sequences. Its description in RNAcentral is "RAGATH-18 RNA". It matches the Rfam family "RAGATH-18 RNA". From Rfam's summary of the family: Actinobacteria, Firmicutes, Fusobacteria, Thermotogae (1 example). Nearby to self-cleaving ribozyme genes The record is from Rfam by way of RNAcentral.